Molecule: ribosomal RNA, 253 nt
Filed under: uncultured bacterium
Lineage: Bacteria
Description: partial 16S ribosomal RNA
Rfam family: Bacterial small subunit ribosomal RNA
Source: RNAcentral
GACGAACCGUGCGAACGUUGUUCGGAAUCACUGGGCUUAAAGGGCGCGUAGGCGGGCGAUCAAGUCAGGGGUGAAAUCCUCCGGCUCAACCGGAGAACUGCCUUUGAUACUGGUCAUCUCGAGUGAGGUAGGGGCAUGCGGAACUGAUGGUGGAGCGGUGAAAUGUGUUGAUAUCAUCAGGAACGCCGGUGGCGAAAGCGGCGUGCUGGACCCUUACUGACGCUGAUGCGCGAAAGCCAGGGGAGCGAACGGG